UCUAAAUUAUCUUAUUUAACCUUCAAAACAUUUAUUUAUCCUAGUAUAGGUGAUAGAACAGAUUGUACUUAGGCACAAUAACGAAAGUACCGCGAGGGAACUUUGAAAGAUCCUUAAAACAACCUGAAAGCAAUAAAAAGCAAAGAUUUAACCUUAUACCUUUUGCAUAAUGAUUUAGCCAGUCAAAUCGGACAAAAAGAAUUAAAGCCCGACUUCCCGAAAUUAAGUGAGCUAUUGUAGAACAGUUGACAGAACGAACUCGUCUAUGUGGCAAAAUAGUGAGAUGAUUUUACAAUAGGGGUGAAAAGCCUAAUCGAACUUAAUGAUAGCUGGUUGUCCAAAAAACGAAUUUAAGUUCAACUUUAAAUUUAAUAUAAGUAACAUAAAACUAAACUUAAAUUUAAAAGAUAUUCAAAAGGGGGACAUCUCUUUUGAUAUGUAAACAAACUUUUAUAGAGGAUAAUGAAUCACUCGCACAAAACAUUGUAGGCCUAAAAGCAGCCACCAAUUAAGAAAGCGUUAAAGCUCAAAUUUAUAGUAUAUUUGAUACCAAAAAUAAUUCAAAAUCCCUAUAUAAAUAUUGGACAAUUCUAUAACCAUAUAGAAGAUAUAAUGCUAAUAUGAGUAACAUGAAUUUAUUCUCCUUGCAUAAGCAUAAUUUCAGACUGGAACAUCCACUACUACUUAAUCAAAUAAAUAGUCGCACCUACAAACUAGCAUUCUAUUAUUACUAUUGUUAACCCAACUCAGGCAUGCAUUUAAAGGAAAGAUUAAAAGGAAUAAAAGGAACUCGGCAAACACAAACCCCGCCUGUUUACCAAAAACAUCACCUCUAGCAUUAACAAGUAUUAGAGGCACUGCCUGCCCGGUGAGUUAUUAACUUUAACGGCCGCGGUAUCCUGACCGUGCAAAGGUAGCAUAAUCACUUGUCUCUUAAAUGGGGACUAGUAUGAAUGGCAUCACGAGGGUUUAACUGUCUCUUAUUCCCAAUCAGUGAAAUUGACCUUCCCGUGCAGAG
Molecule: ribosomal RNA, 1018 nt
Filed under: Planigale kendricki
Lineage: Eukaryota; Metazoa; Chordata; Mammalia; Dasyuromorphia; Dasyuridae
Description: partial 16S large subunit ribosomal RNA
Rfam family: Bacterial large subunit ribosomal RNA
Source: RNAcentral